Molecule: ribosomal RNA, 439 nt
Filed under: uncultured bacterium
Lineage: Bacteria
Description: partial 16S ribosomal RNA
Rfam family: Bacterial small subunit ribosomal RNA
Source: RNAcentral
UGGGGAAUUUUGGACAAUGGGCGCAAGCCUGAUCCAGCCAUGCCGCGUGCGGGAAGAAGGCCUUCGGGUUGUAAACCGCUUUUGUCAGGGAAGAAAUCUCUGAGUUAAUACCUCGGGAGGAUGACGGUACCUGAAGAAUAAGCACCGGCUAACUACGUGCCAGCAGCCGCGGUAAUACGUAGGGUGCAAGCGUUAAUCGGAAUUACUGGGCGUAAAGCGUGCGCAGGCGGUUUUGUAAGACAGAGGUGAAAUCCCCGGGCUCAACCUGGGAACUGCCUUUGUGACUGCAAGGCUUGAGUGCGGCAGAGGGGGAUGGAAUUCCGCGUGUAGCAGUGAAAUGCGUAGAUAUGCGGAGGAAACACCGAUGGCGAAGGCAAUCCCCCUGGGGCCUGCACUGACGCUCAUGCACGAAAGCGUGGGGAGCAAACAGGAUUAGAUA